Molecule: microRNA, 21 nt
Filed under: Apis mellifera (honey bee)
Lineage: Eukaryota; Metazoa; Arthropoda; Insecta; Hymenoptera; Apidae
Description: ame-miR-9880-3p
Source: miRBase by way of RNAcentral
AUCGGCUUUCAUCGGAUGGGG